Molecule: long non-coding RNA, 2052 nt
Filed under: Anser brachyrhynchus (Pink-footed goose)
Lineage: Eukaryota; Metazoa; Chordata; Aves; Anseriformes; Anatidae
Description: lncRNA (ENSABRG00000001027.1)
Source: RNAcentral
AUGUUUGCGGAUGUGUUCACGGGAUGCGUUUGCGGCCUCGGUUGAAGAUGCAUUUGCACCUUUGGUCUCACGUGCAUUUGUAGGAUGCAUUUGCAGAUGCGUUUGCAGCCUUGGUUGCAGAUGCAUUUGCACCUCUGUUCUCACAUGCAUUUGCACAUGCAUUUGCAGAAUGUGUUUGCAGCCUCGUUUGCAGGUGCAUUUGCACCUCUAUUCUCACAUAUGUUUGUAGAUGCAUUUGCAGAUGCAUUUUCAGGAUGUGUUUGCAGCCUCAGUUGCAGGCACAUUUGCACUGAUGGUCUCACAUGCAUCUGUAAAUGCAUUUGUAGGAUGCAUUUGCAGAUGCGUUUCCAGCUUUGAUUGCAGAUGCAUUUGUACCUCUUGUCUCAAAUGCAUUUGCAGAUACAUUUGCAGAUGCGUUUUCAGAUGUGCUUGCGAGAGAUGUUUGCAAGACACCAUUUGUAGAUGCAUUUGCAGAUGCAUUUGUGGGAUGCGUUUGCGGCCUCAGUUGCAGACACAUUUAUACCUCUGGUCUCACAUGCAUUUGUAGUGCAUUCAAUUGCAGGUGCAUUUGCAGGAUGCCUGUGUAACCUUGGUUGCAGAUGCACUUGUACCUUGUCUCACAUGCAUUUGCAGAUAUAUUUGCAGAUGCAUUUGCAAGACACGUUUGCAAGACACCAAUUGUACAUACAUUUGCAAAUGUGUUUCCAGAUGUGUUUGCAGGAUGCGUUUGCAGCCUCGAUUGCAGAUUAAUUUUCACCUCUGGUUUCAUGUGUAUUUGCAGGAUGCAUUUGCAGAUGCAUUUGCAGCCUCAUUUGCAGAUGCAUUUGUAUCUCUUGUCUCAAUUGCAUUUUAAGAUGCAUUUGCAGGAUGUGUUUGCAGCCUUGAUUGCAGAUGCAUUUGCACCUCUGGUCUUACAUGCAUUUCCAGAUGUUUUUGCAGAUGCAGAUCCGUUUGCAAGACAUGUUUGCAAGGCAUUAUUUUUAGAUGCAUUUGCAGGAUGCAUUUGCAGGAUGCACUUGCAGCCUUGGUUGCAGAUGCGUGUGUACCUCUGAUCUCACACGCAUUUGCAGGUGCAUUUGCAGAUAAGUUUGUAAGACACCAUUUAUAGAUGCAUUUAUACCUCUGGUCUCACAAGUAUUUGCAUACAUUUGCAGGAUGUGUUUGCAGCCUCAAAUACAGAUGCAUUUGCACUCUGGUCUCACCUUUAUUUGCAGAUGCACUUGCAGGUGCAUUUGCAGAUGUGUUUGCAAGACAUGUUUGCAAGACACCAUUUGUAGACGCAUUUGCAGCUCUGGUCUCACAUGCAUUUGAGGAUGCAUUUGCAGAAUGUGUUUGCAGUCUUGGUUGCAGAUGCAUUUGCUCCUCUGGUCUCACAUGCAGGUGCAUUUGGAGAUGUGUUUGUGAUAAAUGUUUGCAAGACAUCAUUUGUAGGUGCAUUUGUAGCUCAGGUUUCAUUAGCAUUUGUAGAUGUAUUUGUAGAUGCAUUUGCAGGUGAAUUUGCAAGACAUGUUUGCAAGACAUCAUUUUGUAGAUAACAUUUGCAGCUCUGGUAUUACAUGCAUUUGAGGAUGCAUUUACAGAAUGUGUUUGCAGGCUCGGUUGCAGAUGCUUUUGUACCUCUGGUUUCACAUGUGCAUUUGCACGAUGCAUUUGCAGAUGUGUUUGCAAGACAUGUUUGCAAAACAUCAUUUAUAGAUGCAUUUUUAUCUCUGCUCUCACAUGUAUUUGCGGAUACCCUUGUAGAUGCAUUUGCAGAUGCAUUUGCAGGAUGCAUUUGCAGCUUCAAAUGCAGAUGCAUUUGUACCUCUGGUCAUCCAUACAUUUGCAGAUGUAUUUGCAGGAUGCGUUUGUAAGAUGGGGUUGCAGGAUACAAUUGCAGCCUCAUUUGUAGAUGCAUUUGCAGCUCUGGUCAGCCUUGCAUUUGCAGCUGUGUUUUCAGAUGCAUUUGCAGGAUCUGUUUACAACCUCAGUUGCAGAUGCAUUUGUCCCUCUGGUCUCACAUGCAUUUGCAGAUGCAUUGCAGGAUGCAUUUGCAAGAUACAUUUGCCACCU